This 832-nucleotide long non-coding RNA is filed under the name Trifolium pratense (red clover). Its description in RNAcentral is "long non-coding RNA (TPRA_LNC008525)". Lineage: Eukaryota; Viridiplantae; Streptophyta; Magnoliopsida; Fabales; Fabaceae. The record is from RNAcentral.
ACAGGCAAAAGCAGUACCGUUGUUCCUCCAAUAGUUUAAGAUGCUGCUUCCCAAAUGUUUUCUGACAAGUAGUAAAUCAAGCUUUGGCUAUGUUAGUUACUUUGCUUUCUAAAUUUUCCACACCAAUGUAUUUGUCUGACAUCUGACACGACACCGACACUUAUAAAUUAUAAUUACAUUGAAUUAUGUGUCCGUGGUUCAUAGAUUAUCUCAUCCUAUUACUUUUACAUUCUUCAUAUGAAAAUGAGUGAAUAAUAAUAAAUAGUUAUCAUCAAAAUCAACAACUCGAAACACAAAUUUUGCAGCAUAAUCAACUACUACAAUAUAAAAUCCAAAAGAAAAAAUUGGAGCCAUCAAACUCACCGUUGCAAAGUGAGUCAUGUCACUGUAAAUGCCUAUCACUGACAUAGAGCCGCGGCCAAAAUGGGGACCUUAAAUUUAAGAAACACCAAAAUGCUCCGAAUUUUCAGUCAAACUGCUCCCUCCUCAAGUUGCUCAGUCAAAAUGCCAUAACUUUCAGUUAAGAAAUUACACGCAACCCUAAAACCCUAAUUCUCAGACUCUGUUUGCGUACUCUGCUUCCUCUUCCUCUCCUCUCCUCUCCUCACUUUGACUCCCGAUGUUUCUCCUGCCUCAAUUGCGAUUGUGCAGUUCAUCAUCCUCUUUGCCUCUGUUAGGUUCGUCAAUGACAAUGUGUGGUUCAUCAUCCUCUACCUCUGCUCCGUUCAGUUCGUCAUUUUCUCAAAUUCUGGCUCUGCGCAACGCAGAGAUGAACAACGAACACGCGAAUCAUUGGCGCGUUUAACGGUGUCGAAAAAGGUAUUAGAAAAAG